This 695-nucleotide ribosomal RNA is filed under the name uncultured bacterium. RNAcentral describes it as "bacterial SSU rRNA". It matches the Rfam family "Bacterial small subunit ribosomal RNA", at positions 46 to 758 of the family's 1533-position model. The record is from RNAcentral.
GAACGAAGCAUAGGAGUGGAAUUUUUCGGAAGGAAACAACUAUGACUGAGUGGCGGACGGGUGAGUAACGCGUGGGUAACCUGCCUCAUACAGGGGGAUAACAGUUAGAAAUGACUGCUAAUACCGCAUAAGCGCACAAAACCGCAUGGUUUGGUGUGAAAAACUGAGGUGGUAUGAGAUGGACCCGCGUCUGAUUAGCUAGUUGGAGAGGUAACGGCUCACCAAGGCAACGAUCAGUAGCCGACCUGAGAGGGUGACCGGCCACAUUGGGACUGAGACACGGCCCAAACUCCUACGGGAGGCAGCAGUGGGGAAUAUUGCACAAUGGGGGAAACCCUGAUGCAGCAACGCCGCGUGAGUGAAGAAGUAUUUCGGUAUGUAAAGCUCUAUCAGCAGGGAAGAAGAGAGACGGUACCUGACUAAGAAGCCCCGGCUAACUACGUGCCAGCAGCCGCGGUAAUACGUAGGGGGCAAGCGUUAUCCGGAUUUACUGGGUGUAAAGGGAGCGUAGACGGCUUGAUAAGUCUGAAGUGAAAGGCCAAGGCUUAACCAUGGAACUGCCCCCCCCCCUCUGAGGCUAGAGUGCUGGAGAGGUAAGCGGAAUUCCUAGUGUAGCGGUGAAAUGCGUAGAUUUUAGGGGGAACACCAGUGGCGAAGGCGGCUUACUGGACAGAAACUGACGUUGAGGCUCGAAA